AACGAACGCUGGCGGCAGGCUUAACACAUGCAAGUCGAGCGAGACCUUCGGGUCUAGCGGCGGACGGGUGAGUAACGCGUGGGAACGUGCCCUUCUCCACGGAAUAGCCCCGGGAAACUGGGAGUAAUACCGUAUACGCCCUUUGGGGGAAAGAUUUAUCGGAGAAGGAUCGGCCCGCGUUGGAUUAGGUAGUUGGUGGGGUAAUGGCCCACCAAGCCGACGAUCCAUAGCUGGUUUGAGAGGAUGAUCAGCCACACUGGGACUGAGACACGGCCCAGACUCCUACGGGAGGCAGCAGUGGGGAAUCUUAGACAAUGGGGGCAACCCUGAUCUAGCCAUGCCGCGUGAGUGAUGAAGGCCUUAGGGUUGUAAAGCUCUUUCAGCUGGGAAGAUAAUGACGGUACCAGCAGAAGAAGCCCCGGCUAACUCCGUG
This 433-nucleotide ribosomal RNA is filed under the name uncultured bacterium. RNAcentral's name for it is "partial 16S ribosomal RNA". It matches the Rfam family "Bacterial small subunit ribosomal RNA", at positions 29 to 507 of the family's 1533-position model. The record is from RNAcentral.